Molecule: ribosomal RNA, 310 nt
Filed under: uncultured bacterium
Lineage: Bacteria
Description: bacterial SSU rRNA
Rfam family: Bacterial small subunit ribosomal RNA
Source: RNAcentral
ACCUAAUAGAUACCCUGGUAGUCCACGCCCUAAACGAUGCGAACUGGAUGUUGGGUACAUUACGGUACUCAGUGUCGAAAGCUAAACGCGUUAAGUUCGCCGCCUGGGGAGUACGGUCGCAAGACUGAAACUCAAAGGAAUUGACGGGGGCCCGCACAAGCGGUGGAGUAUGUGGUUUAAUUCGAUGCAACGCGAAGAACCUUACCUGGCCUUGACAUCUGUCGAAUCCUGCAGAGAUGCGGGAGUGCCGCAAGGAACGACAAGACAGGUGCUGCAUGGCUGUCGUCAGCUCGUGUCGUGAGAUGUUGGG